Molecule: unclassified non-coding RNA, 167 nt
Organism: Chelonoidis abingdonii (Abingdon island giant tortoise)
Lineage: Eukaryota; Metazoa; Chordata; Testudines; Testudinidae
Source: Ensembl
UUGACAGCCCUGGAGACUGGAAUCCUCUGGGUAUUCACAGAGCAGGCACAGCCCAGGCUGUAACAGUGCAAGCUUCUCCAGCCACAUAGCUUAACUCUGCAGCGGGAAGGUCCACUACUCGGGCUGAAAGGGCAGGUGAGUGUCCGUGCCCUCAGGCUUAGCCCUCA